RNAcentral lists this long non-coding RNA (360 nucleotides) under Mytilus galloprovincialis (Mediterranean mussel). Lineage: Eukaryota; Metazoa; Mollusca; Bivalvia; Mytilida; Mytilidae. The record is from RNAcentral.
GAAUUUGGCAGCUAGUGCCCCUUAAACAGGUAAAGUUCAAUUAACAAAUUCUGAUCUACUGGCAUUCAACACCAAAUUACUUACUUGCUGUAUAUUGAUAAAUGUGAUUGUAUAUUGUCAAUACCUCAACAUCGAGAAUACGUCAUGUGAGGUGUUGGUCGCUACGUUUGAUACGGGGUCAAAGGUUGCGGCUUCGAGACAGAGAAAAACAUCCAGGUAAAAAGUGUAGAAUUUUGUUUUUGAAAAUUUGAGUUGUAAAUUUUCCUAAAAAGUACUUAAUUCCGUUCAUCUAGUUGUAAAUUUUCCUAAAAAAAAGUACUUAUUUCCGUUCAUCUAUUAUGGGUAUAAACUAAACUGAAC